AUCCUGGCUCAGAACGAACGCUGGCGGCGCGUCUUAAGCAUGCAAGUCGAGCGGGAUUGAGUAGCUUGCUACUCAUGAGAGCGGCGGACUGGUGAGUAACGCGUGGGUGACGUACCCUGAGGAUGGGGGAUAGCUCCUAGAAAUAGGAGGUAAUACCGAAUACGGUGUGCAGAGUUAGAGACUGUACAUCAAAGGUUCUUUUGAACCGCCACAGGAGCGGCCCGCGUACUAUUAGCUAGUUGGUGAGGUAACGGCCCACCAAGGCGACGAUAGUUACCCGGCCUGAGAGGGUGAACGGGCACAUUGGGACUGAGAUACGGCCCAGACUCCUACGGGAGGCAGCAGCUAAGAAUAUUCCGCAAUGGAGGAAACUCUGACGGAGCGACGCCGCGUGGACGAUGAAGGACCCGGAAGGUUGUAAAGUCCUUUUAGAUAUGAGGAAUAAGCAGUGUGAGAGAAACGCACUGUGGUGACUGUAGUAUCAGAAUAAGGGGCGGCUAAUUACGUGCCAGCCGCGGC
This 519-nucleotide ribosomal RNA is filed under the name uncultured bacterium. Its description in RNAcentral is "bacterial SSU rRNA". It matches the Rfam family "Bacterial small subunit ribosomal RNA", at positions 16 to 518 of the family's 1533-position model. The record is from RNAcentral.